Molecule: non-coding RNA, 879 nt
Filed under: Pan troglodytes (chimpanzee)
Lineage: Eukaryota; Metazoa; Chordata; Mammalia; Primates; Hominidae
Source: RNAcentral
GGCCCUGAGCUCUGUGGGCCCCAGGUGCCCCAGGAAAACUUGGGGGAGAAUGGGCAUCCCACCCCAGCACUUUCUAGGAAGGAGGGCAGCAUUUUGAAGGGCUGGAAGUAGAGGAAGGAGGUUGCGGGUAGAAGACUCCAUACUUUCUGUGAUGCCUAUUCCUUAGGUAGGAACUUAGGAACCUCAGCUUGAGAUGAAUGUUUUCUCAGUAUCCUAUGCUGAAAACAGGUAGAUACUAAUAUCGAUCUUCAAGGGAGGGCUGUUGAGUUUUGAAUAAGACAAAAACAUGGAAGCAAUCAGCACCAUGCUGGAGAGCCUUUAUAUAACCAAAGAUAUUUUUGGACCAUGAAUUCGGAAAUUCUCGGAGCCACCCAUCAGUGCCUGAGCUUCAGUGAGUCCAUAUCCCAUGUCACCCACGGCAAAGGAGAAUCUAAGACUUCUGAAGAGUUUCUUGCUUCUUUCCUGUGGGGCAGUGACUCCACUUCCCAGCAGUAAUGGAAUAUCCUGAAUUAGCUACAUUAAUGUUAGAACCAUUUGGACCUCACCCAGGACUUCAACUACAUUAUGCUAAAGUUACAGAACCCAAAUUUGGCAACUGUCUGCAUCUGAACAACAGAAGUUUCAACAUUCUGCCAACAGAGUAACUCCUGGACGAUUGGCACAGAAGGCACAAGGCAAAUACCUAUCUCUGUACACCCUGUGCUACUGUGUCAUGUGCUGCUCCAGGCAACUCCAAUGGAUUGGCCACCCUGGCCAAUGUGUUCUAGUAUGUUAGGUUUAUGUUCCCCUGCUUUCUACAAUCCUGUUCAAAGAGUUGCUGACUUAACCACAGAGAGGAUUCCAGAACAUGAGACACAGAAUAAACUUGAGCAAUCAUAG